UGAACAUAUGAGUUCGUGCCUAAAAUUGAAAUGAUACAGAGAAGAUUAGUAUGACCCAUGCGCAAGGAUAAUACGCGCAAGUCCGGAAAUGGUCCAACUUUUU
This is a non-coding RNA of Capsicum annuum, 103 nucleotides long. The record is from Rfam. NCBI's taxonomy places the organism in Eukaryota, Viridiplantae, Streptophyta, Magnoliopsida, Solanales, Solanaceae.